GGCGGAAGCUGUAGAUGUAGAUAUAGAUGAACUUCUCGAUAUGGCCAGCGAUGAAGUUCGUAAAGCUUACCUCAAUGAACUGUUAGCCGAGUCUAAGAAACCACAGAAAGAAAUAAGCAGAUUCAUCAGCGAUCUAAUGGAUAGAGCGAAGACUUUGUAACUUUUCAUCGAUCCGUCGUUCACAAUUACUCGUUAUCAUUUCGCGUAGCGUUUAGUGCAACCGGAAAAUUAUGAAAUCCGAAAGAACGGCAACUGGAAAUCCGUUCUGGAAAACUCUUGCCAGCCACACACAUCUAGAGAUUAGUACCCUGUCUAUGUUUUGUAUAGAUAAUUAAUUUUAUUUAAUUAAGAUUAUUUUAGGAAUUUAUUCAAGAUGACGUACUCUAUUCACACAUUCUUGACAUGUUUGACGUGAUACAUAAUUUAGAUGCUUAUUGUUAUAAACAUUAUCAAUUUGAUAUCGGUA
Molecule: long non-coding RNA, 466 nt
Organism: Ctenocephalides felis (cat flea)
Lineage: Eukaryota; Metazoa; Arthropoda; Insecta; Siphonaptera; Pulicidae
Exons: 3
Source: RefSeq, a predicted model, not a curated record